This 700-nucleotide ribosomal RNA is filed under the name uncultured bacterium. RNAcentral's name for it is "bacterial SSU rRNA". It matches the Rfam family "Bacterial small subunit ribosomal RNA", at positions 57 to 748 of the family's 1533-position model. The record is from RNAcentral.
GCAGUCGACGGUAACAGGAAGCAGCUUGCUGCUUCGCUGACGAGUGGCGGACGGGUGAGUAAUGUCUGGGAAACUGCCUGAUGGAGGGGGAUAACUACUGGAAACGGUAGCUAAUACCGCAUAAUGUCGCAAGACCAAAGAGGGGGACCUUCGGGCCUCUUGCCAUCGGAUGUGCCCAGAUGGGAUUAGCUUGUUGGUGGGGUAACGGCUCACCAAGGCGACGAUCCCUAGCUGGUCUGAGAGGAUGACCAGCCACACUGGAACUGAGACACGGUCCAGACUCCUACGGGAGGCAGCAGUGGGGAAUAUUGCACAAUGGGCGCAAGCCUGAUGCAGCCAUGCCGCGUGUAUGAAGAAGGCCUUCGGGUUGUAAAGUACUUUCAGCGGGGAGGAAGGGAGUAAAGUUAAUACCUUUGCUCAUUGACGUUACCCGCAGAAGAAGCACCGGCUAACUCCGUGCCAGCAGCCGCGGUAAUACGGAGGGUGCAAGCGUUAAUCGGAAUUACUGGGCGUAAAGCGCACGCAGGCGGUUUGUUAAGUCAGAUGUGAAAUCCCCGGGCUCAACCUGGGAACUGCAUCUGAUACUGGCAAGCUUGAGUCUCGUAGAGGGGGGUAGAAUUCCAGGUGUAGCGGUGAAAUGCGUAGAGAUCUGGAGGAAUACCGGUGGCGAAGGCGGCCCCCUGGACGAAGACUGACGCUC